RNAcentral lists this ribosomal RNA (1057 nucleotides) under Colletotrichum truncatum. RNAcentral's name for it is "SSU rRNA". It matches the Rfam family "Eukaryotic small subunit ribosomal RNA", at positions 74 to 1116 of the family's 1831-position model. Lineage: Eukaryota; Fungi; Ascomycota; Sordariomycetes; Glomerellales; Glomerellaceae. The record is from RNAcentral.
UUAUACAGCGAAACUGCGAAUGGCUCAUUAUAUAAGUUAUCGUUUAUUUGAUAGUACCUUACUACUUGGAUAACCGUGUUGCUUCGGGAGCUAAUACAUGCUAAAAAUCCCGACUUCGGAAGGGAUGUAUUUAUUAGAUUAAAAACCAAUGCCCUUCGGGGAACACUGGUGAUUCAUAAUAACUUCUCGAAUCGCAUGGCCUUGCGCCGGCGAUGGUUCAUUCAAAUUUCUUCCACUGCGGCUUUCGAUGCUAGAGUAGUGUUCUAGCAUGGUUACAACGGGUAACGGAGGGUUAGGGCUCGACCCCGGGACAGUAGCCUGAGAAACGGCUACUACAUCCAAGGAAGGCAGCAGGCGCGCAAAUUACCCAAUCCCGACUCGGGGAGGUAGUGACCGACAUGUCUUCCCCAGGGCUCUUUUGGGUCUUGUAAUUGGAAUGAGUACAAUUUAAAUCCCUUAACGAGGAACAAUUGGAGGGCAAGGCUGGUGCCAGCAGCCGCGGUAAUUCCAGCUCCAAUAGCGUAUAUUAAAGUUGUUGUGGUUAAAAAGCUCGUAGUAGAACCUUGGGGCUUGCCUCCCGGUCCGCCUCACCGCGUGCACUGGUCCGGCCGGGCCUUUCCCUCUGUGGAACCGCAUGCCCUUCACUGGGUGUGCCGGGGAAACAGGACUUUUACUUUGAAAAAAUUAGAGUGCUCCAGGCAGGCCUAUGCUCGAAUACAUUAGCAUGGAAUAAUAGAAUAGGACGUGUGGUUCUAUUUUGUUGGUUUCUAGGACCGCUGUAUGAUUAAUAGGGACAGUCGGGGGCAUCAGUAUUCAAUUGUCAGAGGUGAAAUUCUUGGAUUUAUUGAAGACUAACUUCUGCGAAAGCAUUUGCCAAGGAUGUUUUCAUUUAUCAGGAACGAAAGUUAGGGGAUCGAAGACGAUCAGAUCGCCUCGUAGUCUUAACCAUAAACUAUGCCGACUAGGGAUCGGACGAUGUUAUUUUUUGACUCGUUCGGCAGCCCCCCGGGAAUCAAAGUGCUUGGGCUCCAAACUUAAGCAUAUCGGUCGCAAACGA